GUUGAUCCUGCCGGAGGCUAUUGCUAUCAGGGUUUGACUAAGCCAUGCGAGUCGAGAGGUGAAAGACCUCGGCAUACUGCUCAGUAACACGUGGAUAAUCUGCCCUCAGAUGAGGAAUAAUCCCGGGAAACUGGGGCUAAUGCCUCAUAGGAGACGGGUGCUGGAAUGCUCUGUCUCUGAAAGGUCCGCCGUCUGAGGAUGAGUCUGCGUCCGAUUAGGUUGUUGUUGGGGUAACGGCCCACCAAGCCAUUGAUCGGUACGGGUUGUGGGAGCAAGAGCCCGGAGAUGGAUUCUGAGACAUGAAUCCAGGCCCUACGGGGCGCAGCAGGCGCGAAAACUUUACAAUGCGAGCAAUCGUGAUAAGGAAACCCUGAGUGCCUGUCAAUGCAGGCUGUUCUGGUGUUUAGUCCGCACCAGGAGAAAGGGCGGGGCAAGACCGGUGCCAGCCGCCGCGGUAAUACCGGCUGCUCGAGUGAUAGCCACUUUUACUGGGCUUAAAGCGUUCGUAGCUUGGUCGUUAAGUCUCUGGGGAAAUCUUCUGGCUUAACCAGAAGGCGUCUCAGAGAAACUGGCGACCUUGGGACCGGGAGAGGUAAGACGUACUUCGGGGGUAGGAGUGAAAUCUUGUAAUCCCCGAGGGACGACCGAUGGCGAAGGCAUCUUACCAGAACGGCUCCGACAGUGAGGGACGAAAGCUGGGGGAGCAAACCGGAUUAGAUACCCGGGUAGUCCCAGCCGUAAACGAUGUGCCUUAGGUGUGUCAGUGACCACGA
This 773-nucleotide ribosomal RNA is filed under the name Methanocalculus alkaliphilus. RNAcentral's name for it is "bacterial SSU rRNA". It matches the Rfam family "Archaeal small subunit ribosomal RNA", at positions 7 to 788 of the family's 1478-position model. The record is from RNAcentral. Lineage: Archaea; Methanobacteriati; Methanobacteriota; Methanomicrobia; Methanomicrobiales; Methanocalculaceae.